RNAcentral lists this non-coding RNA (70 nucleotides) under Burkholderia thailandensis TXDOH. Its description in RNAcentral is "int-alpA RNA". It matches the Rfam family "int-alpA RNA". Rfam says of the family: Acidobacteria (1 example), Planctomycetes (1 example), Proteobacteria. The record is from Rfam by way of RNAcentral. Lineage: Bacteria; Pseudomonadati; Pseudomonadota; Betaproteobacteria; Burkholderiales; Burkholderiaceae.
GCCGAGCCUAGCUAUGGCCAGCGAAGAGCCGGACACCUUCACCGGCCUGGCAGCGGCUUCCGAUUGAAGG